CCGCCCCCGUCUCCACCCCGCCCCCCGGAGCCGCUGAGUGGCGGCAGCGGCCCCAGGACCGGGUUUCCUCAGACAAGAGGGCGGGUGGAGGAGGAAGCGG
This 100-nucleotide microRNA precursor is filed under the name Bos taurus (domestic cattle). RNAcentral describes it as "microRNA bta-mir-3141 precursor". Lineage: Eukaryota; Metazoa; Chordata; Mammalia; Artiodactyla; Bovidae. The record is from miRBase by way of RNAcentral.